UACGGAGGGUGCAAGCGUUAAUCGGAAUUACUGGGCGUAAAGCGCGCGUAGGCGGCUUGGUCAGUUGGAUGUGAAAGCCCAGGGCUCAACCUUGGAAUGGCAUUCAAUACUGCCAGGCUCGAGUACGGGAGAGGAAGGUGGAAUUCCACGUGUAGCGGUGAAAUGCGUAGAGACGUGGAGGAAUACCAGUGGCGAAGGCGGCCUUCUGGCCUGAUACUGACGCUGAGGCGCGAAAGCAUGGGGAGCAAACAGG
Molecule: unclassified non-coding RNA, 253 nt
Filed under: uncultured Oceanospirillales bacterium
Lineage: Bacteria; Pseudomonadati; Pseudomonadota; Gammaproteobacteria; Oceanospirillales
Description: contains 16S-23S intergenic spacer region
Rfam family: Bacterial small subunit ribosomal RNA
Source: RNAcentral